AGGUGUGUUCAGGAUGAAGCCCUUCCAUCACUGAGCCUGAUGCUAGAAAGACCCGGUCUCUAGAGAAGGUAUCAUUUCUGUCACUCUGUCUCCACCCAGCAUUAUAAUCUCCAUCAUCAGUAUCCCACUAUUACUUGAGGCAUAUUUCUACCAUAAUACUCAUCAUACUGUAUUAUAGUUCUUUCCUCAUAUUAUUGUAUUAUUAAGCAGUUUAUGGAAAAAUGACCACUUCUAGUACAUUUGUGUAUCUAGAAUAUGUAAAACAAGAACAUGACCUAAAAGAAGCAAUAAAAGUUUACUGCAAUGAGUUGAA
Manis pentadactyla (Chinese pangolin) is the source of this 313-nucleotide long non-coding RNA. RefSeq lists it as uncharacterized. Lineage: Eukaryota; Metazoa; Chordata; Mammalia; Pholidota; Manidae. The transcript is spliced from 2 exons. The record is from RefSeq and is a predicted model, not a curated record.